RNAcentral lists this ribosomal RNA (509 nucleotides) under uncultured Flectobacillus sp. Its description in RNAcentral is "bacterial SSU rRNA". It matches the Rfam family "Bacterial small subunit ribosomal RNA", at positions 1 to 526 of the family's 1533-position model. Lineage: Bacteria; Pseudomonadati; Bacteroidota; Cytophagia; Cytophagales; Flectobacillaceae. The record is from RNAcentral.
UAGAGUUUGAUCAUGGCUCAGGAUGAACGCUAGCGGCAGGCCUAAUACAUGCAAGUCGAACGGUGUCUUCGGACAUAGUGGCGCACGGGUGCGUAACACGUAUGCAACCUACCUUACAUUGGGGGAUAGCCUUUCGAAAGGGAGAUUAAUACCGCAUAAGACAGUAGUCUGGCAUCAGACAGCUGUUAAAGAUUUAUCGAUGUAAGCUGGGCAUGCGUCCAAUUAGUUAGUUGGCGAGGUAACGGCUCACCAAGACUAUGAUUGGUAGGGGAACUGAGAGGUCAAUCCCCCACACUGGCACUGAGAUACGGGCCAGACUCCUACGGGAGGCAGCAGUAGGGAAUAUUGGGCAAUGGACGCAAGUCUGACCCAGCCAUGCCGCGUGCAGGAAGAAGGCGUUAUGCGUUGUAAACUGCUUUUAUACAGGAAGAAACGACUCUUGCGAGAGGCAUUGACGGUACUGUAUGAAUAAGCACCGGCUAACUCCGUGCCAGCCGCCGCGGUAAUUC